AUGAACGCUGGCGGCGUGCUUAACACAUGCAAGUCGCACGAAGCACUUUAUUUGAUUUCCUUCGGGACUGAUUAUUUUGUGACUGAGUGGCGGACGGGUGAGUAACGCGUGGGUAACCUGCCUUGUACAGGGGGAUAACAGUUGGAAACGGCUGCUAAUACCGCAUAAGCGCACAGCAUCGCAUGAUGCAGUGUGAAAAACUCCGGUGGUAUAAGAUGGACCCGCGUUGGAUUAGCUAGUUGGUGAGGUAACGGCCCACCAAGGCGACGAUCCAUAGCCGACCUGAGAGGGUGACCGGCCACAUUGGGACUGAGACACGGCCCAAACUCCUACGGGAGGCAGCAGUGGGGAAUAUUGCACAAUGGGCGAAAGCCUGAUGCAGCGACGCCGCGUGAGCGAAGAAGUAUUUCGGUAUGUAAAGCUCUAUCAGCAGGGAAGAUAAUGACGGUACCUGACUAAGAAGCACCGGCUAAAUACGUG
RNAcentral lists this ribosomal RNA (480 nucleotides) under uncultured bacterium. RNAcentral's name for it is "partial 16S ribosomal RNA". It matches the Rfam family "Bacterial small subunit ribosomal RNA", at positions 29 to 507 of the family's 1533-position model. The record is from RNAcentral.